UCCUGGUUAACCCAGGCAGUCUCACUAGAGUUCCCACCAUUACGUGUUGGCAACUAAUGAUAAGGGUUGCGCUCGUUGCUGGACUUAACCAAACACCUCACGGCACGAGCUGACGACAGCCAUGCAGCACCUGUGCAGCAGUCCCGAAGGAAAAUGUUGUUUCCAACAUCGUCUACUGCAUGUCAAGCCUGGGUAAGGUUCUUCGCGUUGCAUCGAAUUAAACCACAUGCUCCACUGCUUGUGCGGGUCCCCGUCAAUUCUUUUGAGUUUCAGCCUUGCGACUGUACUCCCCAGGCGGUAUACUUAUCGCGUUAGCUACGGCACAACCAGGGUUGAGUCCGGUUACACCAAGUAUACAUCGUUUACGGCUAGGACUAC
Molecule: unclassified non-coding RNA, 378 nt
Filed under: uncultured Parachlamydiaceae bacterium
Lineage: Bacteria; Pseudomonadati; Chlamydiota; Chlamydiia; Parachlamydiales; Parachlamydiaceae
Description: contains 16S-23S intergenic spacer region
Source: RNAcentral